UACGGAGGGGGCUAGCGUUGUUCGGAAUUACUGGGCGUAAAGCGCACGUAGGCGGCUUCGCAAGUCAGCGGUGAAAGCCCGCGGCUCAACCCCGGAACUGCCUUUGAGACUGCGUGGCUCGAGUCCGGGAGAGGCGGGUGGAAUUCCGGGUGUAGAGGUGAAAUUCGUAGAUAUUCGGAGGAACACCAGUGGCGAAGGCGGCCCGCUGGGCAGGCACUGACGCUGAGGUGCGAAAGCGUGGGGAGCAAACAGG
Molecule: ribosomal RNA, 253 nt
Filed under: uncultured bacterium
Lineage: Bacteria
Description: partial 16S ribosomal RNA
Rfam family: Bacterial small subunit ribosomal RNA
Source: RNAcentral